RNAcentral lists this transfer RNA (74 nucleotides) under Methanosarcinales archaeon. Its description in RNAcentral is "tRNA-Lys". It matches the Rfam family "tRNA". From Rfam's summary of the family: Transfer RNA (tRNA) molecules are approximately 80 nucleotides in length. Their secondary structure includes four short double-helical elements and three loops (D, anti-codon, and T loops). RNAcentral also lists the same sequence under 1 other name. Lineage: Archaea; Methanobacteriati; Methanobacteriota; Methanomicrobia; Methanosarcinales. The record is from RNAcentral.
GGGCCGGUAGCUUAGCCCGGAAGAGCGGCAGGCUCUUAACCUGUUGGUCGGGGGUUCAAAUCCCUCCCGGCCCG